This 485-nucleotide ribosomal RNA is filed under the name uncultured bacterium. Its description in RNAcentral is "bacterial SSU rRNA". It matches the Rfam family "Bacterial small subunit ribosomal RNA", at positions 30 to 506 of the family's 1533-position model. The record is from RNAcentral.
AUUGAACGCUGGCGGCAUGCCUUACACAUGCAAGUCGAACGGCAGCACGGGUGCUUGCACCUGGUGGCGAGUGGCGAACGGGUGAGUAAUACAUCGGAACGUACCUUAUCGUGGGGGAUAACGCAGCGAAAGCUGUGCUAAUACCGCAUACGCCCUGAGGGGGAAAGCGGGGGAUCGAAAGACCUCGCGCGAUUAGAGCGGCCGAUGCCUGAUUAGCUUGUUGGUGGGGUAAAAGCCCACCAAGGCGACGAUCAGUAGCUGGUCUGAGAGGACGAUCAGCCACACUGGGACUGAGACACGGUCCAGACUCCUACGGGAGGCAGCAGUGGGGAAUUUUGGACAAUGGGCGAAAGCCUGAUCCAGCAAUGCCGCGUGCAGGACGAAGGCCUUCGGGUUGUAAACUGCUUUUGUCAGGGAAGAAACUCUCUGGGCUAAUACCCCGGUGUAAUGACGGUACCUGAAGAAUAAGCACCGGCUAACUACGU